UUCACCUGCAUCAUGAUAAUACAGGGUUUACUGGCCUUCACCCAGCAGCUUAACAUUUUUUGUUGUUUGUUGGUUUGUUUGUUUGUUUUUUCCCCAGCAGAGAAAGAUCCUUUAGCUGGGCUCUCGGGGUAUACUCUUUCCCGUGCCUGGAACACUGAUGGUGUUUCUCUCUGCUUUGAAUCUUUCUCAGGCCCAGUGAAAUUCUACUGAGAUGAACCUGAAAGUGAGUGCGGUCAAUUUUGUGUCUGUACUCACCACGGCUUAUAUAUCACUACCCCCACCGCCCACUCAGCCUUCAGCAAUUCCUUAGAAAACUUCAUCUGAAAGCUCCUUACCUUGUUCUACGGUCACCGACUUCCUCCCAUCCUCUGACCCAGGCUCAGGUUGAUGACGGUCAUAUGAGAACUUUUAAGGACUGCUAAGGUGAAAUUUUGGAAGAGAAUGCUUGCAUAAUUUUAAGUUACUCUUCUUUACCUGGAAGAGUCCAUCUGUGUCUGCAAACUCAUUUAUCCAGGUUGAAAACUACAACUGCCACAAGGGAGGAGAGGAAAGGAGGAGGAGACUGACUCCCCAACACUCAGGUCAUUGGAUUAGCUCUCCUACUGUCUAUAGGACACAACACUCUUGGAUGGGAGUAUGGAGUGAGCCAAAUCCACCAGUCACUGGACUGCCCCUGGGAAGGAGCUUGAUGGAUGCUGUCUGCCACCAGCACCUCCAGCAGAUGGAAACUUAAUUCUCAUUCCUAUUG
This is a long non-coding RNA of Balaenoptera musculus (blue whale), 748 nucleotides long. RefSeq lists it as uncharacterized. The record is from RefSeq and is a predicted model, not a curated record. Lineage: Eukaryota; Metazoa; Chordata; Mammalia; Artiodactyla; Balaenopteridae. The transcript has 4 exons.